GCAUAUCAAUAAGCGGAGGAAAAGAAACCAACAGGGAUUGCCCCAGUAACGGCGAGUGAAGCGGCAACAGCUCAAAUUUGAAAUCUGGCUCUCGGGCCCGAGUUGUAAUUUGUAGAGGAUGCUUUUGGUGAGGUGCCUUCCGAGUUCCCUGGAACGGGACGCCAUAGAGGGUGAGAGCCCCGUCUGGUUGGACACCGAUCCUCUGUAAAGCUCCUUCGACGAGUCGAGUAGUUUGGGAAUGCUGCUCUAAAUGGGAGGUAUAUGUCUUCUAAAGCUAAAUACCGGCCAGAGACCGAUAGCGCACAAGUAGAGUGAUCGAAAGAUGAAAAGAACUUUGAAAAGAGAGUUAAACAGUACGUGAAAUUGUUGAAAGGGAAGCGCUUGUGACCAGACUUGGGCUUGGUUGAUCAUCCGGGGUUCUCCCCGGUGCACUCUUCCGGCUCAGGCCAGCAUCAGUUCGCCCUGGGGGAUAAAGGCUUCGGGAAUGUGGCUCUCUCCGGGGAGUGUUAUAGCCCGCUGCGUAAUACCCUGUGGCGGACUGAGGUUCGCGCAUUCGCAAGGAUGCUGGCGUAAUGGUCAUCAGUGACCCGUCUUGAAACACGGACCAAGGAGUCGUCUUCGUAUGCGAGUGUUCGGGUGUCAAACCCCUACGCGAAAUGAAAGUGAACGCAGGUGAGAGCUUCGGCGCAUCAUCGACCGAUCCUGAUGUUAUCGGAUGGAUUUGAGUAAGAGCAUACGGGGCCGGACCCGAAAGAAGGUGAACUAUGCCUGUGUAGGGUGAAGCCAGAGGAAACUCUGGUGGAGGCUCGCAGCGGUUCUGACGUGCAAAUCGAUCGUCAAACAUGGGCAUGGGGGCGAAAGACUAAUCGAACCUUCUAGUAGCUGGUUUCCGCCGAAGUU
This 900-nucleotide ribosomal RNA is filed under the name Fusarium solani. RNAcentral's name for it is "LSU rRNA". It matches the Rfam family "Eukaryotic large subunit ribosomal RNA", at positions 38 to 968 of the family's 3401-position model. The record is from RNAcentral. RNAcentral also lists the same sequence under 1 other name. Lineage: Eukaryota; Fungi; Ascomycota; Sordariomycetes; Hypocreales; Nectriaceae.